GACGAACGCUAGCGGCAGGCCUAAUACAUGCAAGUCGAACGGUAAGGUCUCUUCGGAGACUACGAGUGGCGCACGGGUGCGUAACGCGUAUGCAAUCUACCCUCCGGUGGGGAAUAGCCAGUGGAAACGCUGAAUAAUACCCCGUACGAUUCACGAAUCGCAUGGUUUGUGAAAGAAAGCUUUGGCGUCGGAGGAUGAGCAUGCGUCCCAUUAGCUAGAUGGCGAGGUAACGGCUCACCAUGGCGAUGAUGGGUAGCUGGUCUGAGAGGAUGAUCAGCCACACGGGCACUGAGACACGGGCCCGACUCCUACGGGAGGCAGCAGUAAGGAAUAUUGGUCAAUGGGGGCAACCCUGAACCAGCCAUGCCGCGUGCAGGAAGAAGGCCCUCCGGGUCGUAAACUGCUUUUAUCAGGGAAUAAACCUCCGAACGUGUUCGGAGCUGAAGGUACCAUACGAAUAAGGAUCGGCUAACUCCGUGCCAGCAGCCGACGG
This 493-nucleotide ribosomal RNA is filed under the name uncultured bacterium. RNAcentral's name for it is "bacterial SSU rRNA". It matches the Rfam family "Bacterial small subunit ribosomal RNA", at positions 28 to 520 of the family's 1533-position model. The record is from RNAcentral.